Molecule: ribosomal RNA, 589 nt
Filed under: Burkholderia sp. MO.38
Lineage: Bacteria; Pseudomonadati; Pseudomonadota; Betaproteobacteria; Burkholderiales; Burkholderiaceae
Description: bacterial SSU rRNA
Rfam family: Bacterial small subunit ribosomal RNA
Source: RNAcentral
CAUACGAUCUACGGAUGAAAGCGGGGGACCUUCGGGCCUCGCGCUAUAGGGUUGGCCGAUGGCUGAUUAGCUAGUUGGUGGGGUAAAGGCCUACCAAGGCGACGAUCAGUAGCUGGUCUGAGAGGACGACCAGCCACACUGGGACUGAGACACGGCCCAGACUCCUACGGGAGGCAGCAGUGGGGAAUUUUGGACAAUGGGCGAAAGCCUGAUCCAGCAAUGCCGCGUGUGUGAAGAAGGCCUUCGGGUUGUAAAGCACUUUUGUCCGGAAAGAAAUCCUUGGCUCUAAUACAGUCGGGGGAUGACGGUACCGGAAGAAUAAGCACCGGCUAACUACGUGCCAGCAGCCGCGGUAAUACGUAGGGUGCGAGCGUUAAUCGGAAUUACUGGGCGUAAAGCGUGCGCAGGCGGUUUGCUAAGACCGAUGUGAAAUCCCCGGGCUCAACCUGGGAACUGCAUUGGUGACUGGCAGGCUAGAGUAUGGCAGAGGGGGGUAGAAUUCCACGUGUAGCAGUGAAAUGCGUAGAGAUGUGGAGGAAUACCGAUGGCGAAGGCAGCCCCCUGGGCCAAUACUGACGCUCAUGCACGA